Mastomys coucha (southern multimammate mouse) is the source of this 538-nucleotide long non-coding RNA. RefSeq lists it as uncharacterized. The transcript is spliced from 2 exons. The record is from RefSeq and is a predicted model, not a curated record. Lineage: Eukaryota; Metazoa; Chordata; Mammalia; Rodentia; Muridae.
GGAGCAACCCUUUAAGGGGCACUCCUCCAUGGUCUCUGCAUCAACUCCUGCCUCCAGGCUCCUACCUGUGUUUGCUGGGGGAUGGACUGUCACGUGGAAGGGCCAGACAGGAUCAGGAACUAGAAGACAUAGUCUUUCUGACCCACACUUGACCUUCUGAAGUGUCUCACCUGAAGCCAUUUCUGUCACUCAGCCUGGAUCUGGAGAUCCAGCUUCGUGGACACUUCCAAGGAAGGACUCCAUGAUUUGGGCCAGAGAAAUCAUCUUAGGAGCACUUAGCCCACCCUUGUCAAUGUUCUGCACAGUCCCCACAGUAAAAAAAAGGGGGGCCUCUGCUCUUAAGGAUUGUGAUACAUCCUGGAGACUGCUGGAGACUGUGCAUGUUGAAUUGGUUUGCCUUCAAGCAACAUAAAAGCUCUGGAAAGAAAGGAACUGCAUUUUGUUCAUAUUUGUAUUUCUGUCAGCCCAGUACAGAGCUUUGAACAUAAUGCAUGCUCAAUGAAUAUGCAAUGAAUGAAUAAAUGAGUUAAUGAGCAAG